This 253-nucleotide ribosomal RNA is filed under the name uncultured bacterium. RNAcentral's name for it is "partial 16S ribosomal RNA". It matches the Rfam family "Bacterial small subunit ribosomal RNA", at positions 524 to 776 of the family's 1533-position model. The record is from RNAcentral.
UACGAAGGGGGCAAACGUUGCUCGGAAUUAUUGGGCGUAAAGCGCACGUAGGCGGCUUAGCAAGUUGGAGGUGAAAUCCCUCGGCUUAACCGGGGAACUGCAUCUGAUACUGGAUGGCUUGAGUUCGGGAGAGGGAUGCGGAAUUCCAGGUGUAGCGGUGAAAUGCGUAGAUAUCUGGAGGAACACCGGUGGCGAAGGCGGCAUCCUGGACCGGCACUGACGCUGAGGAGCGAAAGCCAGGGGAGCAAACGGG